AACGCAUAUUGCACUCUCUGGUAAUCCGGGGAGUAUGCCUGUUUGAGGGUCAGUAAAAAUAAAAAAUCUAUCAUGAAACCUUUUUUUAAUUUAUUUUAUUAAAUCGGAACAUGGAAUUGGAUCUUUCAAAAAUUUCAUUAUUUUCGAUGAUCUUAAAUUUAUGUUAUAUGGCUAUAUAUAAACUGAACCAAAAAGAGCAAUUAUUUAUAAAUUAAUCUCAUUUAGUGAUGUUUUAUUAAGCCAAAUAUGAUUUAUUUUGAUAUUUUUUAAUAUUAAAAUAAUCAUAAACAUAUUUUAAAAUGACCUCAAAUCAGGUAAGAGUACCCGCUGAACUUAA
Molecule: unclassified non-coding RNA, 337 nt
Filed under: uncultured Entrophospora
Lineage: Eukaryota; Fungi; Glomeromycota; Glomeromycetes; Entrophosporales; Entrophosporaceae
Description: uncultured Claroideoglomus sequence contains ITS2
Source: RNAcentral